Molecule: ribosomal RNA, 404 nt
Filed under: bacterium
Lineage: Bacteria
Description: partial 16S ribosomal RNA
Rfam family: Bacterial small subunit ribosomal RNA
Source: RNAcentral
UGGGGAAUAUUGCACAAUGGGGGAAACCCUGAUGCAGCGACGCCGCGUGAACGAAGAAGGUAUUCGUAUCGUAAAGUUCUGUCCUAUGGGAAGAUAAUGACAGUACCAUAGAAGAAAGCUCCGGCUAAAUACGUGCCAGCAGCCGCGGUAAUACGUAUGGAGCGAGCGUUGUCCGGAAUUAUUGGGCGUAAAGGGUACGCAGGCGGUUUAAUAAGUCGAAUGUUAAAGAUCGGGGCUCAACCCCGUAAAGCAUUGGAAACUGAUAAACUUGAGUAGUGGAGAGGAAAGUGGAAUUCCUAGUGUAGUGGUGAAAUACGUAGAUAUUAGGAGGAAGACCAGUAGCGAAGGCGACUUUCUGGACACAAACUGACGCUGAGGUACGAAAGCGUGGGGAGCAAACAGGA